Long non-coding RNA from Felis catus (domestic cat), 3463 nucleotides. RefSeq lists it as uncharacterized. The transcript has 2 exons. Lineage: Eukaryota; Metazoa; Chordata; Mammalia; Carnivora; Felidae. The record is from RefSeq and is a predicted model, not a curated record.
GGGGGGGGGGUGACCUUAUGAAAGCAGUUUCCACAACCAUAGGAGGCGAUAUGCCCGGGUUUUCAAAGUAGUUGAGGACCUAAGAGGCUUGGUGAGCUGUCACUUGGGAGCCUCAUCCCGAUAGGACCGACCGCGGUCGCCCUCAGCACGUCGCAGGAAGGAGCCCGAGAGAAGAGCCGCCUGGCCCGCGUUGGCUGCUGCCGUGCUGUCCCUAGGUCCGCAGUAAGCUGCCACUUCUACGAGCCGUGAGCUUAGUACCCUUUCACCCAGGCUCGGCCCCGCUCCGCCCCGAGGGCCACCUCACAGGUGCCCUUUCUACCCUGUGGGACCCUCGGCCUUAUUCACACACACCCCCCCCCCCCAUUCCCCCAAUACCUGGCCAACCUGCAGCCUCUGCUCCUCCAAGCGGUUCCCCCCCCACCCCUCGCAGAAAGGCCCCGGGCACCUGCCAGGUGCAGGCCCCGGCCCCCACCCCCGCCCCCCUUCCAGUCCUCUGCGCUCGGCCACCCCCGCCACCACGCGUGCGAGUCCCGGGGCGGUGCUUGCAGUGCCCCGCUGUGACUCCCUGCUCGUCCCGCCGGAGGGCCCGCCCCGCCCCCGCCCGGCAGCAUCGAGGAGCGGAACGCAGUCCCGGGCGGUGGCGGCCGCCGAAAAACUGCCCUCGCUUCUGGCUUCACAGGCCAGGCCCGGGCGCCUCCCGCUGCGUCCGCAAAGGAAGGCGGUUCUUAGGACGCGGAGGGGCCCGGGGUCUGUCCCGGAGCUCGGGGCCCGGCCGCGCUGGGGACCCGCGGCCGACGGCGCCCGCAGGGGAGGAGUCGCGCGGCGGCGGACAAAGGCGGCGCGGGCCGGUGGGCGGGGCUUGACGUCACGGGCCGGCGCCCCGCCCCCCCGGGGUGGGCCCCGCGCGGCCACAACAAUAGGCGAGGGGGCCUCUCGCCGCCGCUCCCCGCUCUCGCUCUUCCGCGCCGGCUGGGCGGCGGGGGCUUUGCAGACCGCGGGGCCCUAGCGAUCUCCUCGAUUUUACAGAAAUUCGCUUUCGGCGCCGACGUGCUUCUUUUAAAAAGGAAACGCGAGCGCGAAGCGGUCCCCGGCCGCUGUCGCCCCCGUCCGGCUGCCGGCCGGGGCACUCCGGCGGCCGGCUUCCGCGCGCGGCGGCCACCGGAGGGCGCCUCGGCGCCGUCGCCCUCUCCCCGGAGCACACUCUGCCUGAGACCCAGACCCGGGCUGGCCACCCCUGCCUCGGGGUCACCCGUCGGAGAACCCAGCUGGGUCAUUGUGUGACCUCAGGGCAGGUGCUGGCCCUCCCUGUGCCAAGGUUUCCCGCAGGACGAUUUUCAUUCUAGAACGUUAAGGGAAGAGCACAAGUGUCUCUUGAGUCGGCUACGCCUUCAUGGCCUUCACCUCAAAUAGCCCACAGAGGGGCACAUUCUGGGGAGACUUGCUCUGAACCCCUUCGGGGCCAAGGGCAGGUAUGCGAUGGGGAGCCGGCUCGGGGCUGGUCAGUAGGUACCAGUUUCCUCCUGGUCCCUCAGUCCUUUCCAGAAGGGAGUCAGGAUCCUGGCCCACUUAGCUCGGGGCUACUAAAGCUGGGUCUCGUCCUGCCUCAGUUUCCCCUUCUACACCCCCACUCCCUAGGACAGAUUCUUUGGCCACUCUAUAUGCCCCAGCUGGAAGCGAUCUGGAGACCAUCUGGGGAGCAUUCUCACUGGCCAGCUGUCCUAGGUGUGCUGGUCAGGACCUCCAGCCCUGCCUGGAGUGGGUGCUGCUUGUGGGGACCCCCACUCCUUCCCUGCUCCCCACCACCCCAGUCCAGACAGGACUCCAGGAUGGAGGAGACGGCAUCUUGGGCUCAAGGACUCCAUGUGGGGAGGUGACAUCGCCCCCCCUGGAACGGGAUCACCUGACGGGGGAGAAUCCCCCCCGACUCGGACCCACCCCCCCAAGGAUACCAGCCCUCGCAUCAUCCAGGGUACGUCUGGCAAGAGGGGGCCUCUCUCCCAGGGACGGGGGGUCACCCUUGGGAGCUGCCUGGAGGUGGGGGUCAGAGACACCCAGAGUGGGACGCUUUCCUGACAGGCCGGGUCCCCGAGCAGCCCGAGGGAGGGUGAGCGGGGCUCAGCAGAAAUCCGAGCCCAGAUAGGAGAGGCGCUCUUGUGAUCACGGGGGAGACAAGGCGCAUGUGAGGCCAUCGGCACCCGUCCCCGGGGCCCAGGCGGAGCCGUGACGCCCAGAGGGAAGGGAGCAUCAUGCAGUGUCCCGGUCCAGCUGACAUGGCCAGCGUGAGGUGGGCUGGGACACAAGGGCCUAGCUCUCCAGUCCCGGGACCUGGUUGUGGCUUUCCCCCUCAAUUCGGGGGCCCCCUGGUGUCCCCCGGCCGCUCUCCCAGCUCCGUCUCUCCGGGUUCAUUGUCACAUGUGCCCUGGCCCGGGACACCUCCUCCCUCCUGCCAUGUCAGCAUGUCAGUCUUCCCCCGGGCCCCGGGCCCACUCUGGCCUUGGCCGUGAGCGCCGUCUGCAUCCCUCAAGCCAGGGCCUCUGUUGCCUCGUGGGGUCUUGUCCUCGUGAUGCAUCUAGAUGGGGGCAUCGCGAGGGCAAAGGCCUCACUGCCUGCCCCAGUGCCUCACAUCCUGAGAGUGGGCCCCACGAGCCCCCAGGGCUUUGGGGUCCUGCACACUAAAGUUAAGGCCUGGAUCAGCCCUGUGAUGGUGUUAAAACGUGCCCUCGAUUCCUCGGCACGACUCCCUUCCAGGGAUGGGGCACAGUCCCCUCCCGUGGGGUGCGAGCUGGACCUCGCCUGGUGACUCCCGUAGAGGGAACAGGAGGUGGCGGUCAUGACAGGUGACAUCCGAGCCUGGGUCACAAAGGGUGUCGCGGCCUCCGUGUGCCUCUCUCUCGCUGGCCUUGCUCGCUCUGGGGGAAGAAGCCAGCGUGUCGUGAGGCCCUUUGAGCCACCUUCAGAGAGGCCCCUGGCGAGGGGCUGAGGCUCAGGCCAACAGGCCGCACUAACUCGCCAGCCGCGGGAGUGAGCGGCCUUGGGGGUGAAGCCUCCGGCCCCGGUCAAGCCUUCAGAUGACUGCAGCUCGGGCUCCUCUCCUGGCGACAGCCUCCUGAGAGACCCAGAGCCAGAAACAGCCAGACCUGAACUCCCACAUACAAUGUGAGGCAUAAGCAAGAUGUAUUGGGGUUUUUUUUAGUUUUGUUGUUGUUGUUUAUUUUGAGAGACAAAGAGAGUGAGUGGGGGAGGGGCAGAGAGAGAGAGAGACAGAGAGAGAGAGAGAGAAUCCCAAGCAGGCUUCUAUCAGUGUGGAGCCGGACGUGGUGCUUGAACUCACAAACCACACGAUCAUGACCUGAACUGAAAUCAAGAGUCAGGUGCCCCAAGAUGUGUUGUUUUUAAGUGACUUGAGUCUUAGGGUAAUUUGUUACCCAUCAGUAGGUAACCAAUAAAACUCCUUAAAAGCUGA